CACGCUCAUGCUCGCUAGGAGCUUAAUCGUGGCAGAGAUGAGGAAGGGUCACGGAUAAGACAGGAACACAAGCAGGAUGUCACCAGUAAGAUGUGCUCCGAGAAGGGUGAAGCUGGCCUCGGUGCACAGAGCGAGUUCAGGGCAAGAAGCUCAUCUAUGUGGAGGAGCUGCCCGUCAAGGACCACUACGCCUUCUACUGUGAAGACC
Molecule: long non-coding RNA, 207 nt
Filed under: Cavia porcellus (domestic guinea pig)
Lineage: Eukaryota; Metazoa; Chordata; Mammalia; Rodentia; Caviidae
Description: lncRNA (ENSCPOG00000036756.1)
Source: RNAcentral